CCUUUAUGGCUUUGGUUCGAACCGUGAUGAGUGCGUCGAACCGUUUUGUGAGGGCUUUGGCGGCGAUGUCGUCAGGGGAAGGAAGAGGGUCGGUGGAGUUGGUGGAGUUUGUGGAAGCCAUUGUUGGUGUUGGUGUGAAAAGGGUAUCUGAAUUUUGUUCCAAAAUGGGGUCUUUGAGGUGAAGGGUCAGAACAGGGUGGUUGUUAUGGUGGUUGGGGGUGGUGGUGAGGGUGGUGGCGUCACCAUUGGGGUGGUGGCAGUGAGUCUCGUUUUGGGGCAUUUAGCCAUAAAGGGUCAUCACCCACUGCCACUUAUGCUGAAUUGGAAUGUUAUUAAUGGAAGCAUAAAAAGAAGACGACUAAGUGUUUGAUGAAUUGUCCCAGAGAAAAACAAGAAGAAAAAGAGGAGGAACAAGAAGAAGAUGGAAGAGGUUUUAAGAGAGUGUGAUUGUGUUUGUGAUUGUGAGAGUGUGAGUGAGUGAGAGUGUGUGAAUAUCCUUACACAUAUAAACAUUUUUAAUUAAUAAUCUUAAUAUGCGUUCUUAUUUUUCAAAUUAAAAGUUUCGGUUUCAGCGUUUUUUCCCCUUCGUUUAUGGUCCGAAUAUGCAAUUUCAUAAUCAUAAGUUGUAAAGAGAAAUCAAACGGGCUUUUAUAUUCAGAUUUGGGCCAUGACCUUCUAUUUGUUCCGCUGUCUCUGGGUUUAGUUUGGACUUUGGUGGAUUGGUCAAGCAAGUUCAUGAUGAUGUAGUUUCGCUUUCAUGUAUUUUAUAUUUUUAUAUUUUUUGAAAUUGAAUAUGUAUAAAUAAGAGAAAAGGACAAUUUAGUCCCUCACCUUUUAACCCGAAAACAUUUUCGUCCCUGAGCAUUGAAAAAUACAUUUAAAUCCCUGACGUUCCUUAAAAUAAGACCGAUCCGUCCCUCCGUCCAUGAGCCACCCUCAGAGCAGACGGAAAACGCUGAGUUGGCUUCCCCUAUGCUGACCUGACUCAUCGGUGUUCCCACGUGGCAAAUAAGUGGGAUGGAUGUUUUGAAAACGGGACACAUUAGUCCCUCUAACACAAAACGACGUCGUUCUGCUCUGGACACAUUAGUCCCUGGACACAUUAGUUUCUCUACAGGACCUUCCGCAAUGUUGUACUUGGAACACCAUUCUUUCACCUUGGUUCUCAACUCCUCCCAAAGAGGCAAGCAUCUACCAAUCAGUGGUCGCUCAGCUUCAAUGUCCUGAAUCAUUCCUCUUAUGACCUUCACAAUGGAAUAAACGGCUUCUAACUCAUUCCAAAAGCCCUCGUUGUUAAAAUCCUUGAUUAAACUAAUGAACCCCUGAAGCUGACAAGAAGUAUUUACCAUCCAAUGGUUCUGAGCCUCCAAGUUCCUCAAAGCCUUGGCCUUGAACUUGUCUGCAACAAUCCCAACACACCUUUGAACAACACUUCCACUGGCACCAGUCACAGUCUCCCACAGAACCUCCUCAGCAUAACUGGAAGACACAACUCCACCAGUGAACAAAGCCUUCUGGAACACACUAGUACCAUUGGGAAGAUUCACCACAAACUUCACCAAAUUCUCACCACCACAACACAAACUAUACCAAUUCAUAUUCUUCCAACCAUCACUAGCCACCUGAAAGAACAUGGCAUCCCUUAUCUUGGCCUCAGACUCAGCCUUGGCCUCACUGAACUUAGCAUCAAGCCUUGGACCUGAGAUUUCAUGCCUCAAAGUAUUUGUUGCAGGCAAACCAACCUGGCUUAGAAAAGCCUGAAACUUUCUGUGCUCAAUUGUGGCCAGAGACACAGAACCACAAGUCUCACACAACCAAUCAGAGAGCAACUCAAGGGCAGAGUUGACCUGCUCCUUACUCAAAGCAGGACCAGGUGAGGUCUUAAGGCUCUUGAGCUUCUUCACACUGUCCUCAAACAUAGGCAAAGCACACAAAUCUUCCUUCCCACCAGACAGUACUAAAUGCUGCUGCUGCUGAUGAUGCUGAUGCUGAUGCUGAUUAUGAUGAUGGUGCUGGUUCACAGAGUUACCAUGCACCUGAGUGUACCCAAUUUUACCACCAAAAGGACCAAACUUUGAAGACUCCACCAUUGCCAAGGCAUGAUUUUGAUAAGGAACAGGUGAUGCAGGUGAAGCCCUCUUCCUGCUAUUGUUGCUAUGGUUCGAACCGGUGUUGACCACUGAGAUUGGAAGCGGAGAAGGAACCGAACCGGGCCUCAAUCCUGUGCUGAAAUUGGGAGACAGUACCAAGCACCCUUUCCCUUUAUGGCUUUGGUUCGAACUGUGAUGAGUGCGUCGAAUCGUUUUGUGAGGGCUUUGGCGGCGAUGUCAUCAGGGGAAGGAAGAGGGUCGGUGGAGUUGGUGGAGUUUGUGGAAGCCAUUGUUGGUGUUGGUGUGAAAAGGGUGUCUGAAUUUUGUUCCAAAAUGGGGUCUUUGAGGUGAAGGGUCAGAACAGGGUGGUUGUUAUGGU
This 2469-nucleotide long non-coding RNA is filed under the name Arachis ipaensis. Its description in RNAcentral is "long non-coding RNA (AIPA_LNC001851)". Lineage: Eukaryota; Viridiplantae; Streptophyta; Magnoliopsida; Fabales; Fabaceae. The record is from RNAcentral.